UACGUAGGGUGCAAGCGUUAAUCGGAAUUACUGGGCGUAAAGCGUGCGCAGGCGGUUUUGUAAGUCUGUCGUGAAAGCCCCGGGCUUAACCUGGGAAUGGCAUUGGUGACUGCACGGCUAGAGUGUGUCAGAGGGGGGUAGAAUUCCACGUGUAGCAGUGAAAUGCGUAGAGAUGUGGAGGAAUACCGAUGGCGAAGGCAGCCCCCUGGGUCAAGAUUGACGCUCAUGCACGAAAGCGUGGGUAGCGAACAGG
RNAcentral lists this ribosomal RNA (253 nucleotides) under uncultured bacterium. RNAcentral's name for it is "partial 16S ribosomal RNA". It matches the Rfam family "Bacterial small subunit ribosomal RNA", at positions 524 to 776 of the family's 1533-position model. The record is from RNAcentral.